ACGAGAAACGGUCUAGCUUGCUAGAUGCAGUCUAAGUGGCGCACGGGUGAGUAAUGUAUAGCUAAUGUGCCCCUUGGAGGGGGAUAACAGUUGGAAACGGCUGCUAAUACCCCAUACUCCUUCAUUCUUAAUGAGUGAAGGGAAAGUUUUUUCGCCAAGGGAUCAGGCUAUAUGGUAUCAGCUAGUUGGUGAGGUAACGGCUCACCAAGGCAAUGACGCCUAACUGGUCUGAGAGGAUGAUCAGUCACACUGGAACUGAGACACGGUCCAGACUCCUACGGGAGGCAGCAGUGGGGAAUAUUGCACAAUGGAGGAAACUCUGAUGCAGCAACGCCGCGUGGAGGAUGACGCAUUUCGGUGUGUAAACUCCUUUUAUAUAGGAAGAUAAUGACGGUACUAUAUGAAUAAGCACCGGCUAACUCCGUGCCA
This 429-nucleotide ribosomal RNA is filed under the name uncultured bacterium. RNAcentral describes it as "bacterial SSU rRNA". It matches the Rfam family "Bacterial small subunit ribosomal RNA", at positions 66 to 510 of the family's 1533-position model. The record is from RNAcentral.